This is a non-coding RNA of Coniochaeta pulveracea, 106 nucleotides long. The record is from the annotation of a GenBank genome assembly. Lineage: Eukaryota; Fungi; Ascomycota; Sordariomycetes; Coniochaetales; Coniochaetaceae.
GCCCGCUUGGCUCAGUGGUAGAGCGUGUUGCUAGCAUCGUCCCCGAAGAAUUCCUUUAGAACAGCGGCUGGCGGCAAGAUCAUCAGUUCGAAUCUGAUAGCGGGUG